GGAAUGCAAAGGGAGACAGGAUGUUUCCAUGACUCAAGGGACUGAGUUAUAGCAGGAAGUUAGGCAAGCUUGGUU
This is a long non-coding RNA of Amblyraja radiata (thorny skate), 75 nucleotides long. RefSeq lists it as uncharacterized. The record is from RefSeq and is a predicted model, not a curated record. The transcript is spliced from 3 exons. Lineage: Eukaryota; Metazoa; Chordata; Chondrichthyes; Rajiformes; Rajidae.